Molecule: long non-coding RNA, 1238 nt
Filed under: Anser brachyrhynchus (Pink-footed goose)
Lineage: Eukaryota; Metazoa; Chordata; Aves; Anseriformes; Anatidae
Description: lncRNA (ENSABRG00000015416.1)
Source: RNAcentral
AUGGGGGUGUCAGGGCGCGAGCAGGCUCGCUCUUCACCCUUGAGGGAGAGGAGCGCAUUCGUGCGGCCUGGUACGACGCGCAUUUGUGGGGACACCGGGUGUGCAGAGAGGAGUGUUAAAGCAUUAUUUCGAGCUGUGCAGCUUAAACUCUGGUCAACGGGGGAGCAGAGAAGUCAAAGGCAUCGCUGUAGCAAGCAAGUUCUAAACCUCAAUCAUGUCAUUGAUCCACCCUCAAAUGCCCUUUCCUGCGAGUUCCUCGUGGCAAGGCCUGGUCUGCGGGAGAUGGACAGAAUAACGGGGUGUUGUGCUCUCCUCCUGGUUCCUGCUUGGGCAGUGCACAUUUGGACAGGCAAUCACACCAGCAGAUUCCCAAAAGGAUCAGUAUUGAAAGCAGGACUUCAGAUGAAUUCAUGUGCAAUCAAGGUCAAAGCUAAAGUUUGGUGACACAAGCUUCUUUUGGUCCCUUUGUAGCCUGGCUGUCAGUUACGGGAGACAUUACGAGUAUGCAGCUUCACGUCUCCCUGUGAAUAUUGCUAAUCAUUUACUAGUAUCUGAGGCAUGUACUGGUACAAAAGAGGUGUACCCUAGCUCCUGUGCUCUUCUCCUCAGUUAAUUACCAUACAAACAGGGAGCUGGCAUACUUGGAAGGACUAUUGACUAUGCAAGUAAUUAGCUGCAGUAAAUAUAGGAGAGAAGACAGCUAGCAGGUUUUUAGAUGUUACUUGCUGCUAAGGAAAACUGUUUUCUUUGUUACUGUCUUUUGUGUGAAGGCCAGGAGCUUACCAACUCAGGUUCGAACUCCUCAGAGGCUGCAGGGCAAUGGAGUGUGCAUGUAAUUAUUUGACAGCCUGCAAAGGGGCAGAUGUAUGCAGGCAAAAGUCGAAAGCCAAAGGAUGGUUUGAAGGCUAGCUUUAUGGUUUGUUUGUUUGCUUUAACGUGUAUCAUUUUGCACCUGGUAUUUACAGCGAAGCCCACAAAUAGUUGUAUUAUCACAGAUUAUCUCAGAUUUUCUAUACAGCCUAAAAAUAAGGAGCUUGGCAUGGCAGAAGACUCUCCUUUUAACUCCAUUUCUGUCAUUCAUAUGACAAAGUGACACACUGCAUCCUAACUGUACAGAGCUGAGAGCAUUGGUGCCUUUUGAUCUCCCAGGGCUAGGGGAGCCUAGAUAUGGUUCUCAACCACGUAAAGGCAUUCCAGGAGCUGGCCUUUUCUUAACUGUAAUUUUAAAAGCUAGGUAG